This 572-nucleotide small RNA is filed under the name Pan troglodytes (chimpanzee). Its description in RNAcentral is "processed transcript". The record is from RNAcentral. Lineage: Eukaryota; Metazoa; Chordata; Mammalia; Primates; Hominidae.
CCUGCUCCCAUUAAGACGACUCUAAAUGGGAAAAAAAGGAAGAGUGGCUUUUUGAGGUGGUGGCAUUGGGGGACGUGCCGGAUGGUACAGUGGUGACUGUGAUGGCAGGCAAUGACGAGAACUACUCCGCUGAGCUGCGCAAUGCCUCGGCCGUCAUGAAGAACCAGGUGGCCAGGUUCAACGACCUUCGCUUCGUGGGCCGCAGUGGGCGAGGGAAGAGUUUCACCCUGACCAUCACUGUGUUCACCAACCCCACCCAAGUGGCGACCUACCACCGAGCCAUCAAGGUGACCGUGGACGGACCCCGGGAGCCCAGACGGCACCGGCAGAAGCUGGAGGACCAGACCAAGCCGUUCCCUGACCGCUUUGGGGACCUGGAACGGCUGCGCAUGCGGGUGACACCGAGCACACCCAGCCCCCGAGGCUCACUCAGCACCACAAGCCACUUCAGCAGCCAGCCCCAGACCCCAAUCCAAGGCACCUCGGAACUGAACCCAUUCUCCGACCCCCGCCAGUUUGACCGCUCCUUCCCCACGCUGCCAACCCUCACGGAGAGCCGCUUCCCAGACCCC